AACGCUGCGGGCGUGCUUAACACAUGCAAAGUCGACGGAAAAGGCCCUGCUUGCAGGGUACUCGAGUGGCGAACGGGUGAGUAACACGUGGGUGAUCUGCCCUGCACUUCGGGAUAAGCCUGGGAAACUGGGUCUAAUACCGGAUAGGAGCCAUUUUUUAGUGUGAUGGUUUGGAAAAGUUUUUUCGGUGUAGGAUGAGCUCGCGGCCUAUCAGCUUGUUGGUGGGGUAAUGGCCCUACCCAAGGCGGCGACGGGUAGCCGGCCUGAGAGGGUGGACGGCCACAUUGGGACUGAGAUACGGCCCAGACUCCUACGGGAGGCAGCAGUGGGGAAUAUUGCACAAUGGGCGCAAGCCUGAUGCAGCGACGCCGCGUGGGGGAUGACGGCCUUCGGGUUGUAAACUCCUUUCGCUAGGGGACGAAGCUUUUUGUGACGGUACCUAGAUAAGAAGCACCGGCUAACUACGUGCCAGCAGCCGCGGUAAU
RNAcentral lists this ribosomal RNA (485 nucleotides) under uncultured Corynebacterium sp. RNAcentral describes it as "bacterial SSU rRNA". It matches the Rfam family "Bacterial small subunit ribosomal RNA", at positions 32 to 524 of the family's 1533-position model. Lineage: Bacteria; Bacillati; Actinomycetota; Actinomycetes; Mycobacteriales; Corynebacteriaceae. The record is from RNAcentral.